RNAcentral lists this ribosomal RNA (253 nucleotides) under uncultured bacterium. RNAcentral describes it as "partial 16S ribosomal RNA". It matches the Rfam family "Bacterial small subunit ribosomal RNA", at positions 524 to 776 of the family's 1533-position model. The record is from RNAcentral.
UACAGAGGUCCCAAGCGUUGUUCGGAUUCACUGGGCGUAAAGGGUGCGUAGGUGGUGAGGCAAGUUCGGUGUGAAAUCUCCGGGCUCAACCCGGAAAUGGCAUUGAAAACUGCCCCGCUAGAGGGUUGGAUGGGAGACUGGAAUUCUCGGUGUAGCAGUGAAAUGCGUAGAUAUCGAGAGGAACACCAGUGGCGAAGGCGAGUCUCUGGACAACACCUGACACUGAGGCACGAAAGCUAGGGGAGCAAACAGG